AAUGCCUCUUGAGAUCCGAUCAGAGCGUAGAUAUAUUUGACUUACGCGCCUCCAGAAUCCAUAAAUCAUCCCCUCGGUCGUCGCAACUCUGAUCGACUGCUCUGUGCCCCUCCAGUUACGGUUUUGUCCUUUGUCUUCCUUCCUUUCCUGCUCCUUCACAGCUGUGUUUCAUUUCAACCUUCUCCGUGACACAUUUCUGAAGUGGCUCCUGGGGAGAUCUGCUUUGCUCCGUCGCCAGUGAACCCACAACCUGUUACCACACAAAACCCAGCCGCCCCGGGAGGAUUCUGAUUCUGAGGUGUCCACCUCGCCCCGCAUUAAGAUCACCGAAAGGAAAUCGCCUGAAGCAACAAGGCUUAAAAUAGACAAGAAGAGCCCUGGUUUUCGUGUCAGAAAGUCUCCAGUUGGACCAACGCCAGUGUGGACAGCUUGGAGCCCCCGAAUAAGACAUUUGGUCUCAUGUCUCACGGCUUUCUUGUGGGUAAAUUUUCGAAAACACCCUUGCACUUAUUCUAACUCCCAACGG
Molecule: long non-coding RNA, 526 nt
Filed under: Suricata suricatta (meerkat)
Lineage: Eukaryota; Metazoa; Chordata; Mammalia; Carnivora; Herpestidae
Description: lncRNA (ENSSSUG00005012311.1)
Source: RNAcentral